RNAcentral lists this long non-coding RNA (423 nucleotides) under Mytilus galloprovincialis (Mediterranean mussel). The record is from RNAcentral. Lineage: Eukaryota; Metazoa; Mollusca; Bivalvia; Mytilida; Mytilidae.
ACAUGAGGCUCCUGAUUAAGGACAGGUGCAUACAACUGCAGCAGGUUUGAACGUUUACAACUAUACCUACAAAGGUUCUCAAAGUCUUAGGAACUAGGAAACACAAACAAUGUGAUACUAGUAAGCCUCACAUUCAACUAGUGGCUGAGCUGCCUGCAAUGUGAAUGUCUUACAAAAGUUUACACACCUGGCAUAUAUCUCACCAUCCUACAAUAGCACUUGUACCUAAAAUCAGCCUAAAUCUACAGACAUUACAAAACAAUUACAGUUUCAUGACAUUUUCAAAGGCCUAGCAAAUAUAUAGAAAACCAAAAUAACAAAAAACAUCAUUUAAAAAUCAUAUCCAAUAACAUACCAACCUUCAGAUCAAUAUCACCAGGAAACCAGAUGCUCCACUGAACAGUUGGGGCAAGUAUGAAACAC